AAACUCCUCGGCUCCCGGCGCCGCCGCCACCGCCGUGGUCCCCACUCGAAGCGCACGCCGCCUCGGCUCGCUGGCUCCAGGGAGUCGUCUCGGCGGGACAGGAAUAGAGCGCAGGGAGCUCGGGAGGAAGGCUGCGCGCAAGCGAGGGACGGAGAGCCAUCGGCCGCCAGGACAGGGCCGGAGGGACGAGGCGACACGCGCGCGACGCAGGACAAAUCGGAGCUUGGGAAAUCUCCCCGUCCCCCAAGCUUCAGAGGGGGGUAAAAUCAGAAAAUGUGUGUGAUGGUGGGAGAGAGAUCCGGGCGCGGCGACUCCUCGCAGCGCAUCCGGCUCCCGCACCCACCCGUGGAUCUGGCCACGGCUGUUGCGGACUCGUCUCGGGAAAGCGGAGGCCGAGCGCGCGUAGGGGUGCGUGUCUGGCUGGGGGUGCGCAGUGGCGGAAACAAGACAGGAGGCGGCUUGGGAAAAAGUGGAGCAGAAAUGGAAAAAUACAAACUCACCCGCUGCAAAUGGUCUCUCGGUGCAAACUAAGGUGUUUUCGGGCCUUUCCCCGCGCGCGCCCACUCCCGCCCGCGCGCGCACCCCGCGCACACACUCACUCGCGCACACACGCGCGCACACACGCACUCCCGGGCGAGGGCCGGGCCGCCGCGAGUACAGCGUGCAACCGCCACACAAUAAAUAACAAUAGAUUCCUCCGCUCCGGACUAGCUUCCCGGAGCCCAGCCAGCGCCGGUGGCGGCGGCGGCGGCGGCAGAGGCGCGGGCAGCACCGGCCCGGGGGCGCACCCCGGCCCGACCCUCUACCUCCCGCAGGGGUCCCCUCUCCGCUUCACGCACCCCGCUGGGCACUCCAGCGGCCCCCCGAGCGGGAGCGGCUCCCUCUUUGCCGUUCGCCGGGGCGCUGGCGCCCACCCCCCUCCUCCCUCCCCCCUCCCCCCCGACAUCCCGGAACAAAUAAAUAAAUAAGGCGCGCGAGAGAGGCCAACACGUCGCGGAGGGAGAUGUUGUUAUUUUUUGCUGUUGUGCGUCCCUGACGUCACAUCCACCUGCUGGGUAAACAACCGGGCUCCCAGAAAAAAAAAAUCGCAAUUGCCAAAGAAUGGGGGGGGGGGUUGGGGGGAGGGAUCCAGGGAGGGGGAAGUGAGGGGCGUCCAGGCAGGAUUGGAAAGAGGAGAGGGAGGCAGAGCCCCGCGGACCAGAGAGAGGAAGGGAACGCCAGAGCAGUCCCUGGCAACAGAGGGAUCUGGCAGGAAAGACCUGGAAAAUAAGGGGCAGGGGGGCGGAGGGGGAGAUUCCUCAGGAGAUGGGAAAUGGGGGGCCCAUUCAGACAGCGGAAAAAACGAGAAGGGAGAGUGUUAACUAGGGACGAAGAUGGGAAUGCGAUGGCUAUUUGCUUGGAUUCUGAGCUAAAAAUAUGAAAGGGAGGGGAGAGGACAGGCUAGAAUGUGAGUUUCCUCCAGUUAAAAGUGAAAGUGUUUUGCCAUCAGUGACAGUUGAAGGAGAGCGGGGUGGGAGGUGGUGUUUUCAACCCCCUUUCUCCCUCUCUCCCGUCCUCCCUCGGUCUCUCCUCUUUCUUUCUGCACUUUGUCCAAUGAAAGAAGGCGAGUUCGGGAGGUGAAAGUUCAGCAGAAGGACAAACCCCUGUUUGCAAGGAAACAGAAACCCCGCCAGCCAGCGAGGGGUUUUCUCCCCUGUUUCUCGGAAUCAGGAGAGUGUGAAUGUGGGACGAGCUUCUGCCCCCUUGUCAGAGCCACUGCAGGAAUGUGCAAUCGAGUCCACUUUGGGGGAAGGUGGCUGCAUCAGGAACUGUGUUCUUGCCACGACUCCUCUUAGGAAAACGCCUGGGGGCUAGCAUGUCAGUCCGUUGUUUAACACAAAUUACCUGCUCUCCCAGUGAUCAGUCACGUGCAAAAAGCUUUGUCCAAUUCUUUGAAAAGGUGAGAUUUUUUUUUUUCUUUUUGCGGUUUUUGAAGUUUGGUUGAAUUUAGAAAUUCGAAGGAAUAAACUAAGAGCCUGAAUUAAAUGUUUUGAAAUAUACAUACAUAAAACAAAAGACACUAGUAUUUCUUUCACUUUUAUCAAUACGCAUAGAGAAGGAAGCAGAGUAUGUGUUUCCAAAACGUGACUUGGAAAGCUGUAAGACCUCUAUGUCUUGUUGUUGUUGUUGUUGUUGUUGUUAACAGAAGUAAAUUUUUUCAGACCCACCACCACAGAAGUGGCCAGACUCCCAAACCAGCAUUUCCAGCUACUGGCUGGCUGGUGUACACCAGGCCAAUUCUUUAUGAGAAUAUAUUAAAAGUCACCCCUGUGGAUUCCUACAAAGUACUUCCCCUUGCGGGGAGGGGAGAGGCUUACUGUCCCUUUGGUCUUGAGACCAGCACAGUUGUAGAUAAUAUCCUGAAAAGGUUAUUAUUAAAUUCUUUCGCGUAAUGCCCCUUUACAAAUAUUGUUAAACAUUAAUUUACAGAAGAACUUAAAUCUUAAUUUCAAGGGUGGCAUAAGACUAUCGCUUUGAAAUUGUAUCUUUCGCAAGUUAAAAAAAAAAAAUAACAAAGCCAUUCGCUGAUGCUACAGAAUAAAAGAAAGGGAGGCUGCUAAGGUAAUUUCAGCCUGGUAGAAUUCACAUUGCAUGCAUGCUGCAUAAAGUUCCAUGCUAUCCAGAUAAGACUAUUCACUGAAUCUUUUAGACUAGAAUCUAGACCAAUAAAAUGCAUUUUAGUUUGUAUGGAAUGUCCUAGCUUCCUAGAGGCUAGGGUUCGACGUCUUGUUUGUCAAGACAUAAAGGGAUUAAUGACAUACCCACUGUGUGCUAGACCACAGAGUGGGCACAGAGGGAUGAAAAAAUAAAAAUUCCUGCCCUUGAGGAGCUCACAGUCUAAGCUGUCAAUAAUAACAUCUAACAUUUAUUAAAUACUAUGAUCUAGGCACUGAACUAAAAGCUUUAUGUCAACUCAGUUAAUACUGCCAACAACUCUUUGACAUCACUGGAAAUUCCAUAUGCUGAAUUCACACGGAAUUAAGUGGAAAUCUACAAAGUAGCCAGUCUACUGGUUCUGUAGUGGUCAACCUAUUAAAAAUGGUUUUUAAUUUCUAAAGUACUUUAUGCCAAAUAUAACAUGUUUAUGGUAUAUGCCUGACUGUAGAAUUAUAACUCAGGGGAAUAACGACUUAUUUAAAUGUAACAGAUCUAUUCAUAGUCUGUAAAGAACAAUUCAUCCUCUGAUCUUGUUUUUCAGAUUAAGCAGUGUGUUUAUUAAAAAUUAUUAUCAUCGCAAUACUAAAAAGAUCUUUAGAUUGCUGCUAAUCUGAUUCUGCAUUUUAACUGCCUUAAAUUCUACAUUCACUUGCAAGUGGGGGCCACAGUCAGGUUGGCAACAAGUUUUGCAGACAAAAGGAAAUCCUGGUUGUAAAUCCCAUGAUAUAUUGUACUCAAUUUUGUAUGAUACUGUCUAAUGUGCUGUGCUGCCUUAUUAAAGAACUCGAUGUCCAUUUGGUUUACAUUAGAGGGAAACUUAACUGCAGCUUAACAUAUUGUUCAUUUUCAACACUGUCACGUUACAUUCGUGGGGGGCAGAUUUUAAUUUCUUUAUCAGUAAUCAACUGGAAGUUUCUUUUUGUUAAAUUAAAGCAAGAAAGGUUUUAAAAUAAAGGGCAUGGGGGUAGGACGCCACCUUUUGGUGAUAAAACAAAUAGAAAUCCCUUCUGAAAACAGAUGUUCCUGACAUAAUUUUAUUUUUAAUUACACCAAGGCAAAGGUGCUUGUCCCCAUUUCGUUAUAUUUUAAGUAACAGGAGAAAAAAAAAACCAAUGUAAAUGCAAAAUUAGCAAAUUAUAGUUAACUGCAGCCAAAAUUUUCCCAAACGUAUCAGAAUAUGUUAGUCCCCUGUCACAUUACUGUUGAUUGUAUACACCAAACAUGAGCUUCAUUCACCAAAUACCAUGUCACUAAAUAUAUGUACAUUUGGGGAACAGAAACUGGAGUGGACAUUUACCACCUGACGACGUACCUGAAUGCUCUUGUAAGUUUUGAGUUGAACAAAAACUAAAACCACUUAAUUUAGUGUUUCUUUAACCACAGUUACUGGUGUCCUGAUUUUUGCCAUAUCUAUAUGACAUAACAGUUCCCGAAUAAUUAAUAUACCAUACUCAUUGGAGGCCACUUAUUAUGGUAAUUGUAGCAAACAUUUUCAUUUAAAUCAACCUUCUUUUAAUUUUUUUCUAUUACUGCCUUAAAUGGGAAAUCAGUAUCACCCACCAUAAAUUAAAAACAAGCACAGUAAAAACAAAGUCACUGAUUUCUCUUUGAGGGUCAAAACAAAAAUUAAAAAUGAUUUUUGAAAAAAGGAGGGAGAGUGGCAAAUGUUGAGAAGGGUUAAGGACAAGAGUAUCAAUGGAAAUUUUUGAAUUUUUGUUUUUUCUCUCUCUUUUUUUCUGUUUUUUUUUUUUUUUUUUUUUUAACAACCAGAAGGAUUUAAAGUGAUCGGAAAGGAAUACAGUUCUCAAUGUGUGAUUCAGUGUUAUGCCAUCCUAGUGCCAAGGUUCCUACACUUUAAAAAACAUGGGCAUAACUAAGAAUAUCGCAUUACAGAUGAGGAAUCUAAGGCCCAGGGAUUUCAUUUGCCCUCCAAGGCAAAAUAAAUUUGGUUACUGGUUGGACAAGGAUUAGAAUCCAGGUGUCCUGACUUUGUGGGUUUCCAUCUCACUCUUUCCACUAAAGUGACCAAUCCUCAGACUUAAGUGGUUUGUCUAGCUUCUCAGAAACAGCUAACCUACAGACCCCUUUACAGAUCUGGGAGAAACUGAGGCCACAGAGGGUCAAGAACAAGUUCAACCCCCUGCUCACCGUCCUUUCUCUCCACCCUCUCUCCAUAGAUGUGACAGACAUCCAGGUGGGGGUCAACACAGCAAAGAAAGAAGGGAGGGUUGAGAAGAGAAAAGUGGAUUCAGAGAGGGGAGGUUAGUAAGCGUGGGCAGACCAUUCUCUAAAUGAAAGCUUAAACUCAGUUGCCUUCCAAGAAGAUAAAAAUGGCUAAUGAAAAUCAUGUGCUUCACAGUAAGUGGUAAGAGGAGCCCAUCCUCUGUGUCCUCAUGUCCCUAUAUGUCCACACCGGAAAUCAGCAGGGGAUCUCUUGUUUUAAAGUAUACAAUAUUAACAGGCACACUCUGAGACAAAACCACAUUUGAUAAUUUGAGUGGGUGGAAAAGCUAGUCAGGGAACGGGGAAUGACCCUAGCUUAAAAAGUGUUUUCCCCCACAACAAAACUUAAGAGGCUCAGAGUUAAAUCUAGAAACAAUAGUGCUUUUUCUGUUUUUCUAACUGGAGAGUGAGACCUUAGUUACCAAGACUGCACUUGCUGCUUUUUUUUAAAGUAUGCAGUUAUAUAAACAUAAAUAAAUAUGGCCUGCAAAUAUUUUUAUGUUUUUCUAAAUUGGUGAUUGUGAAAAGAGGUUGUGCAUGACUGUACUGUAUGAACAUGGGUCUCAGUGGACUGUAAUCCUCAUAAACUACAAGGUACGGUGAAGCAUUUGGCCAAGUAUCAUCAAUCCAAAAAGCUGUUCUAAUGCCCUGAGCAUUCCCAGUGCAACGUUGGUACCUUGGAAACAUGUAAAAGGAGUAUGGGUGGCUCAACCCCAUCUGCUACAGGUACUAGAACAAUCUACAGCCUUACUAUGCAAAAUGAGAUGUGCUGACCUGCAGAGCACCACCUCCAGGUUAUGUCAAAAAUGCAGAAUGUCAGGCCCUACCUCAGACCUAGUGAAUCAAAUAUCUGUAUUUUAAAAAAAUCACCCAGCCAAGUCUCACACACAUUCAAGUUGGACAAAGGUGAUCUAUAGUACAUGUGGCCCCUUAUACAACAGGCUGCAUCUCAAUAUCUUGAUAGCCUUAAACUAUUUCACAGGUAGUCCUGUAAGUCUGCCAUACAUGAUUCUCCAAACUGGCAUCUUUUAUAAACUUUGUUGGUUCCUUAUUUUUCAACCAUUUGCAAAGUUAAGUCACUCAAUCACCUAUGCAAACCAUAAUUAAUUCCUUUGACAUUAAUAGUCCGGUGACUUCUCUCUCCUGUUACCCCAAAGAGACUGCUAAUUGCCCUCCAAUUGUUUACCUUUGUAUUGUUUUAUGAGAGCUCAGAGAAAGAUGGAAGAUACUCUCCACCAGGCCAGAAACAAAUGCCAGACAGGUUUUGAAAAGGCUGAACACAUGCUAUGACUACACCUUGUUAGUAGAAGGGCUUUGCUUUCUUUGUUUUGUUUUCUUUUUUUAUGGAAGGGAUGACGCCUCCAUAAUUAUAGGUGCUGCUGUUUAAAACCCAGAGUGUUUUCCAAACCACUGAGGGGCCACACCUCCAGCAGCCCAUGAGCCAUCCUGGCUGGAUUAUCUUUCCAGUUCUCUAAACAGUUCAUCAAGCAGUACUAGAUUUACAUUAAGCAUAACGAGAGUAAGGGACCCCAUCCAAGUAUGGUUUCUUUCUGAAUAAACAUGAAGGACUCACAGGUAAACCUCACAGCUGAAGGUUAAUUUGUAUCUGUGAAGUUCUCAGAAAGACUGUAGUAAAGGCCCCUCACCCACCUAACAAGACAGCAGGUUACUUUUGUAACACCCCCCCAA
This 6609-nucleotide long non-coding RNA is filed under the name Homo sapiens (human). RNAcentral describes it as "non-protein coding lnc-GPR27-10:3". The record is from RNAcentral. Lineage: Eukaryota; Metazoa; Chordata; Mammalia; Primates; Hominidae.